This 426-nucleotide ribosomal RNA is filed under the name uncultured Pseudoxanthomonas sp. RNAcentral describes it as "bacterial SSU rRNA". It matches the Rfam family "Bacterial small subunit ribosomal RNA", at positions 356 to 774 of the family's 1533-position model. Lineage: Bacteria; Pseudomonadati; Pseudomonadota; Gammaproteobacteria; Lysobacterales; Lysobacteraceae. The record is from RNAcentral.
GGGGAAUAUUGGACAAUGGGCGCAAGCCUGAUCCAGCCAUACCGCGUGGGUGAAGAAGGCCUUCGGGUUGUAAAGCCCUUUUGUUGGGAAAGAAAUCUUGCCGGUUAAUACCUGGCGAGGAUGACGGUACCCAAAGAAUAAGCACCGGCUAACUUCGUGCCAGCAGCCGCGGUAAUACGAAGGGUGCAAGCGUUACUCGGAAUUACUGGGCGUAAAGCGUGCGUAGGUGGUGGUUUAAGUCUGCUGUGAAAGCCCUGGGCUCAACCUGGGAAUUGCAGUGGAUACUGGGUCACUAGAGUGUGGUAGAGGGAUGCGGAAUUUCCGGUGUAGCAGUGAAAUGCGUAGAGAUUUGGAGGAACACCAGUGGCGAAGGCGAAUUUCUGGUCUGCAACUGACGCUGAGGCGCGAAAGCAUGGGGAGCAAACA